This 620-nucleotide long non-coding RNA is filed under the name Pan troglodytes (chimpanzee). Its description in RNAcentral is "long non-coding RNA NONPTRT001287". The record is from RNAcentral. Lineage: Eukaryota; Metazoa; Chordata; Mammalia; Primates; Hominidae.
CAACAAGUUAAGCUGAAGACCGAAGCAAGAGCUGGUUCAGGUGGCAGCCACAGCAGCCUCAGGGACCUCAGCAACUAUGGCCUCCUGCCCAGACUCUGAUAAUAGCUGGGUGCUUGCUGGCUCCGAGAGCCUGCCAGUGGAGACACUGGGCCCGGCAUCCAGGAUGGACCCAGAAUCUGAGAGAGCCCUGCAGGCCCCUCACAGCCCCUCCAAGGCAGAUGGGAAAGAAUUAGCUGGGACCAUGGAUGGAGAAGGGACACUCUUCCAGACUGAAAGCCCUCAGUCUGGCAGCAUUCUAACAGAGGAGACUGAGGUCAAGGUGAGGAGAUUCGCUGUGGGAAGGAAGGGAGGCGGGGAGGGCUAGCAGCUGCUCACUGCUGCAUCUGCAUUAGGGCACCCUGGAAGGUGAUGUUUGUGGUGUGGAGCCUCCUGGCCCAGGAGACACAGUAGUCCAGGGAGACCUGCAGGAGACCACUGUGGUGACAGGCCUGGGACCAGACACACAGGACCUGGAAGGCCAGAGCCCUCCACAGAGCCUGCCUUCAACCCCCAAAGCAGGUGAGAGUCUUCCUUGCCUCUCCUGUCACUCUCCUUCUAGAAGGUAUGGGAGAGGGAUCAGC